GGCUGGUUCGAAGGUAGUGAGUUAUCUCACUUAAUUCUUCAGUCAGUUAUAGAUUGAAUUCCUUAUUCUACUACUUUUCUCCCUUCUCACUACCACACUUGAUUAGUCUUAA
This 112-nucleotide Y RNA is filed under the name Microcebus murinus (gray mouse lemur). RNAcentral describes it as "Y RNA (ENSMICG00000041819.1)". It matches the Rfam family "Y RNA". Rfam says of the family: Y RNAs are components of the Ro ribonucleoprotein particle (Ro RNP), in association with Ro60 and La proteins. The Y RNAs and Ro60 and La proteins are well conserved, but the function of the Ro RNP is not known. The record is from Rfam by way of RNAcentral. Lineage: Eukaryota; Metazoa; Chordata; Mammalia; Primates; Cheirogaleidae.